This 459-nucleotide ribosomal RNA is filed under the name uncultured bacterium. Its description in RNAcentral is "partial 16S ribosomal RNA". It matches the Rfam family "Bacterial small subunit ribosomal RNA", at positions 338 to 795 of the family's 1533-position model. The record is from RNAcentral.
CCUACGGGUGGCAGCAGUGAGGAAUAUUGGUCAAUGGGCGCGAGCCUGAACCAGCCAAGUCGCGUGAGGGAAGACGGUCCUAUGGAUUGUAAACUUCUUUUGUCGGGGAGCAAAAGACUCCACGCGUGGCUUUCCGAGAGUACCCGAUGAAAAAGCAUCGGCUAACUCCGUGCCAGCAGCCGCGGUAAUACGGAGGAUGCGAGCGUUAUCCGGAUUUAUUGGGUUUAAAGGGUGCGCAGGCGGAAGAUCAAGUCAGCGGGAAAAUUUUGAGGCUCAACCUCUUCGAGCCGUUGAAAAUGGUUUUCUUGAGUGAGUGUGAAGUAUGCGGAAUGCGUGGUGUAGCGGUGAAAUGCAUAGAUAUCACGCAGAACUCCGAUUGCGAAGGCAGCAUACCGGCGCUUAACUGACGCUCAUGCACGAAAGUGUGGGUAUCGAACAGGAUUAGAUACCCUAGUAGUC